This is a non-coding RNA of Cucurbita pepo subsp. pepo (vegetable marrow), 3026 nucleotides long. The record is from RefSeq and is a predicted model, not a curated record. Lineage: Eukaryota; Viridiplantae; Streptophyta; Magnoliopsida; Cucurbitales; Cucurbitaceae.
UGUUGAAUGAUAAAGAAUUCAGUAACCUGCAGUUUAGAACUUUGUGUGGUGAGCUUACUUAGAAGUUAGAACUUGAGCCGUUUCCUGUUUCCUAAGGAACUGAUUAUGUUACCAUUGCAUAAGUUAAAUAAAAGGGGAGGAGCUGCUUUGGCUUUAUAGUGUUUCAGAAAGUUCCUAGAGCUGUGUUCUUUCAAGGUCUUCGUUGUCUCCUGUGAACGAGCCUCCUUAUCCUUUCCAAGUUUGUUGGAUAGAAAUGAUUGCCCAUGAAAUCUUCUUUCUGUGCAAACCUCCAAACUGACUUGGAAGCCAUGGCAACAUGUCUUAUUCUAGGUUCUCUAUCCUUAAGUCCCCUGCCUAAUUGAAACCUCUGUGCAACUUGCAUUGCUUGGUUUUUUGAAAAAAGGCAUAGAGGAGCACAUUAAGAAGAGUGUAGGUUGUAAGUCGCACGUUGCUGACAGGAGCACGCUGCACGGUUUGAAAAAUACGACUGUGACACUUGGCAAGCUAGCAAGCUAAGAUUGUUUUAAGAUUACUUUACAUCCUUUGGGAAAUUUUCCAUGCAUACAUUUCUCUAAUCUGUUCUUGAUUCUUUCCACUAUUGGAUGUAAAAAAGUGAAAUUUGAAGGGUCGUAGUGUAUAUACCACGUAGGAUAAAGAUCCCUUCUCAGACUACAGCCCCAAAAUGAUCAUCCUGGAAGAACUUCCGGUUUAUCAGUAUUGACGCUCACAACUCAUAGGUGAUAUGACGGGAAACAUUCCUGAGAUCCAAAGUAGAUGUGUAGAGAACGAUACAUGUCUCGCUGACAAUGCAAAUGCUUCUGCUGGUUCUCCUAAAACUUCUCCAGAAGUCUUCCCAUCUGCUAUUGAAUUCUAUGUCUGGUCUGAUGAGGGGAUUAAUCUGUUCGUGGAUUUAAAUUCUAGCCCUUUGGACUGGACCUAAAGAUUAAAAAAUGAGGGUUACAUCUGUGAGAGCAUCUACAGAGACAAAUGUCUGCAACAGAAUCUCUGUUGGUUUAAAGGUCAUAAAGAAUUUGCCAAGUCUUUUCAGUGGAACAAUCAUCCUGGCCUAUUGAAGGAUGACUAUUUACAGAAAGAGGCUCCAUCCAGUUCGAACCUGAUGACAGAUAAAUGCAUGGUGACUGACCAACUAGAUGAAGCUAAUGGAUCUGUAAUCUUCUCUGCAAUUACGUCUCAUGCCAUUAAUGCAGAUGCAUUUGAGCAUUUAGAUGAAGCUCAGACAAUCAUUUCUUCUGAAACUGAUUUUGAUGUGCAGAACCAGAAACUUGCUGGGUCUGGAAUUUGUACUGAAGAGGAUAAUCGUGAAAUGAAUCUUGAUAAUGAUAUGAACAAUGCUUUACGAAAAACAGAUAUUUCUGAUCCAGUUUCUGGUGGUCCAUCUAGUCUUUCCACAUCAGACCAUCAAAAUCUUAUACUUGAAAGUGAUAUUUGCGAAACUUCAACACUACAGAAUAGCUGCCGUAUUUUAAAUCUCUGUGUGGAUAAUCCAGGAAGCUUAGCCGCUGGUUUUAUGGACGUGGAAUCAUCAGAUAUUGAACAAUGUCCUACAGACGUUUCUGAUUACAGCUUGCAAACAAGUGCAGAGAAGUUGGAGAGGAACAACUUAAGUGCAACAAUGGAGAUUUCAGAAUACUCUCAAUUUCCUGAAUCUUUGGAGAAGCCGUUGCCUGUAUCUCAUAUUCUCGAAUCUAAUGGAGCACAUAAGAGGAAGAAACUCACUAAAAAUGAAACAAGACGUUGUUAUAGUGAACCAGAUAGAAGAGUUUUAAGAAGUGUAACUAAAAAACGGGGGCUGCUUAGAAGAUCCAGGCGGCUCAUUUUAAAGACUGUGAGUUCGUAAAGUGCAUUGGGACAUGAUGGAACAUGGAAGGAUCGGUUUCUUCACAUCUACAGUGGUCUAAGGAAGAAUCACAUUAAUAGUACGUAUGAAUAUCUUUAUUAUGUGUUUUCUCCUGGAAAGGCUGUUCAUUUUGAGAAUUUUAAAAUCGAUCAGCUUAUUUUAGAAAUGUAUUACUCCAACAAUAAUUUUUGGAUCUUGAAUUGGCUAAGUAAUACAUCAUAUCACAUAGAUGGUAAUAGAUGUAGGCGUCCAGAUUCAGAAUUCUUAGAAUUGUGGAUUGUCGUUGCUGUUGUCAUGGGAUUGUUUCCAUCUGAAGAAAAUGCUUUCAAGCGUCGAUGAUCGAAGAUCGCCCAGAUUUCAAAGGUUAACGUUCGUGUUUAUGCAUUUUCAAAAUCGAAUCGGUCAAUUUUAGGGCCUGUUUGGAAUGCUUUUUCAAGUAGUUAAAAAAUGACCUUUUCAAAAUGAACAUAGUACGAUGGUAAUUGACGUGUACUACUUCUCUUAAAUUAAAGUCUCCGUACUCCACUUGUUAUAAGUGUUUCACUAGAAAUAGAUAUGUGACUCUCAAUAACAUUCCGUGAGAUAUGGUUUUUCCCUCAGGAGACGUAUCUUGUUUUAACCUAAAUAGAUAGAUCCCUAUCGCCCCUUAGGAGACGUGUCUUGUUUUUCCCUCACCCCAUUAAAUACAAAUCUAGCUUUUUGAUCUUUGAUGAUACUUCCAACUGCCCCUAACAAGAUUGACAUUUUGUGUCCCUAAGAUUGUAACUUGUUGCAGGUUGCGUUGAAUCAAACAUCUUUUUCCUGGGAAAGAACAAGCUUGUAUGCAGGUUUCUUCUUCAGUUGAAUGGUAACAACUCUUUAUGAUGUUAUGGAAGAAAUCAUGUGUGUAAUGCUGGCCUGGUUGAAAUUGGUCCUAGAACACUCUCUACAAAUCUCUCCUACCUCGAGCCUCGGAGAAUCUUUUCCUCGAUCAUCGUAAAAAUGUAUGAAGCAUUUCGUAGGAAUGGGCAUUGACAGAGUAGUGACGCCUUUCCCGUCCUUGCCUCGUGUACAUCUCUAAAUCUGCCACACUACUUUUUCUAAUGAGUUUUAUAAUAUCGCUAAUUUACGGUGAGACACAUGAUUCAUUAAUGUAGUUUUGAAUAAAUGAAAUUGAAAGAGUAUUGAA